AGUGAACGCUGGCGGUAGGCCUAACACAUGCAAGUCGAACGGCAGCACAGGAGAGCUUGCUCUCUGGGUGGCGAGUGGCGGACGGGUGAGGAAUACAUCGGAAUCUGCCCAGUCGUGGGGGAUAACGUAGGGAAACUUACGCUAAUACCGCAUACGACCUUCGGGUGAAAGAGGGGGAUCGCAAGACCUCUCGCGAUUGGAUGAGCCGAUGUCGGAUUAGCUAGUUGGCGGGGUAAUGGCCCACCAAGGCGACGAUCCGUAGCUGGUCUGAGUGGAUGAUCAGCCACACUGGAACUGAGACACGGUCCAGACUCCUACGGGAGGCAGCAGUGGGGAAUAUUGGACAAUGGGCGCAAGCCUGAUCCAGCCAUACCGCGUGGGUGAAGAAGGCCUUCGGGUUGUAAAGCCCUUUUGUUGGGAAAGAAAUCUUUCAGGCUAAUACCCUGGGAGGAUGACGGUACCCAAAGAAUAAGCACCGGCUAACUUCGUG
RNAcentral lists this ribosomal RNA (490 nucleotides) under uncultured bacterium. RNAcentral's name for it is "partial 16S ribosomal RNA". It matches the Rfam family "Bacterial small subunit ribosomal RNA", at positions 29 to 507 of the family's 1533-position model. The record is from RNAcentral.